RNAcentral lists this ribosomal RNA (496 nucleotides) under uncultured bacterium. RNAcentral describes it as "partial 16S ribosomal RNA". It matches the Rfam family "Bacterial small subunit ribosomal RNA", at positions 28 to 506 of the family's 1533-position model. The record is from RNAcentral.
GAUGAACGCUGGCGGCGUGCCUAAUACACGCAAGUCGAGCGAACAGACGAGGAGCUUGCUCCUCUGAUGUUAGCGGCGGACGGGUGAGUAACACGUGGAUAACCUACCUAUAAGACUGGGAUAACUUCGGGAAACCGGAGCUAAUACCGGAUAACAUGUUGAACCGCAUGGUUCAACAGUGAAAGACGGUCUUGCUGUCACUUAUAGAUGGAUCCGCGCCGCAUUAGCUAGUUGGUAAGGUAACGGCUUACCAAGGCAACGAUGCGUAGCCGACCUGAGAGGGUGAUCGGCCACACUGGAACUGAGACACGGUCCAGACUCCUACGGGAGGCAGCAGUAGGGAAUCUUCCGCAAUGGGCGAAAGCCUGACGGAGCAACGCCGCGUGAGUGAAGAAGGUCUUCGGAUCGUAAAACUCUGUUAUUAGGGAAGAACAAAUGUGUAAGUAACUAUGCACGUCUUGACGGUACCUAAUCAGAAAGCCACGGCUAACUACGU